Mus caroli (Ryukyu mouse) is the source of this 289-nucleotide long non-coding RNA. RefSeq lists it as uncharacterized. The record is from RefSeq and is a predicted model, not a curated record. NCBI's taxonomy places the organism in Eukaryota, Metazoa, Chordata, Mammalia, Rodentia, Muridae.
GUGACAGUGACUGGAGAGCCCAUCUUGCUGACCCACAGGUUUAGGCAAGCUUCACGCUAUGCUACUGGAGUGUCUGUGGCAGACAGCUUUCCUGAGAGGUACCUUCCUGUGCAGCCUUGGCUGCAGGAAACCCCAGCAACUAUGUUGCAACCUCAUGACCCUGCCAUGAAGCCAGCACUGUCAGACGCAGGUGGCUGAGGAACACCAGGUCCCAGCAAAGCAUGGUGUGCCAGUGCCUGAGGCAGUCAGAGGAGAGCAUCAGAUUCAUCUGCCCCCGACCCCGAGUCAG